GGGGUUUUAAGUUACCGAAUGUGGUGGGGUUUUAUGAGUAGUUGAUUAGUGGGUAGAUUUUCUUUUGGUUUUAAUUUUGUUUUAAUUUUAUUUUUCUUGGUUAUCCAAAAUUCUUUUUCCCUAAAAGUUUGAUUGCGGUGCCACCCUUGUGCUUUUCACGUUCUUGUUUCUCAGUUGAUCUUUUUUAUUCAAAUUUCUUGUUUUUCGUUCAUAACUUCUUGGUUAAUUUUUUUCCUAUUGUUUACCCUUCACUGAUAUUUCGUUCUAAGUCUUAUCGUGCCGUCAAUCUUUAAAUUAUCUCAGGUAAGUGUUCUCUAUCAAACUUUUGUUGAAAUAUGUAAAUGGAC
RNAcentral lists this long non-coding RNA (347 nucleotides) under Gossypium raimondii (Peruvian cotton). RNAcentral's name for it is "long non-coding RNA (GRAI_LNC004219)". The record is from RNAcentral. Lineage: Eukaryota; Viridiplantae; Streptophyta; Magnoliopsida; Malvales; Malvaceae.